Molecule: ribosomal RNA, 782 nt
Filed under: uncultured Acidobacteriota bacterium
Lineage: Bacteria; Pseudomonadati; Acidobacteriota
Description: bacterial SSU rRNA
Rfam family: Bacterial small subunit ribosomal RNA
Source: RNAcentral
UGGCGGCGUGCUUAACACAUGCAAGUCGAGCGCGUUUCGAGCAAACGAGAUGGCGCACGGCGCACGGGUGCGUAACACGUGGGUAACCUGCCCUUUGGUGGGGAAUAACUCCGCGAAAGCGGAGCUAAUUCCGCAUAAGAUCCGAUGAAAGCCGAGAGGCCCGAUGGAGGGGCCCGCGCACGAUCAGCUAGUUGGUAGGGUAACGGCCUACCAAGGCUUUGAUCGUUAGCUGGUCUGAGAGGAUGGCCAGCCACACUGGAACUGAGACACGGUCCAGACUCCUACGGGAGGCAGCAGUGGGGAAUCUUGCACAAUGGGCGAAAGCCUGAUGCAGCGACGCCGCGUGGGGGAUGAAGCAUUUCGGUGUGUAAACCCCUUUCGAUCCGGACGAAUGUGACGGUACGGAUAUAAGAAGCCCCGGCUAACUACGUGCCAGCAGCCGCGGUAAGACGUAGGGGGCCAGCGUUGUUCGGAAUUACUGGGUGUAAAGGGUUCGUAGGCGGUGUGGCAAGUUGGGAGUGAAAUCUCUGGGCUUAACCCAGAGGCUGCUUCCAAAACUGCUGUGCUUGAAUGUGGGAAAAGCGCGUGGAAUUGCAGGUGUAGGGUGAAAUGCGUAAAUAUCUGCAGGAACACCCGUGGCGAAAGCGGCGCGCUGGACCACUACUGACGCUGAAGAACGAAAGCUAGGGGAGCAAACAGGAUUAGAUACCCUGGUAGUCCUAGCCCUAAACGAUCAGGACUUGGGGUGCCACCCGUUCGGGUGUCGCCCGGAGUAACGCGUU